Molecule: ribosomal RNA, 496 nt
Filed under: uncultured bacterium
Lineage: Bacteria
Description: partial 16S ribosomal RNA
Rfam family: Bacterial small subunit ribosomal RNA
Source: RNAcentral
GAUGAACGCUGGCGGCGUGCCUAAUACAUGCAAGUCGAGCGAACAGAUAAGGAGCUUGCUCCUUUGACGUUAGCGGCGGACGGGUGAGUAACACGUGGGUAACCUACCUAUAAGACUGGGAUAACUUCGGGAAACCGGAGCUAAUACCGGAUAAUAUUUCGAACCGCAUGGUUCGAUAGUGAAAGAUGGUUUUGCUAUCACUUAUAGAUGGACCCGCGCCGUAUUAGCUAGUUGGUAAGGUAACGGCUUACCAAGGCGACGAUACGUAGCCGACCUGAGAGGGUGAUCGGCCACACUGGAACUGAGACACGGUCCAGACUCCUACGGGAGGCAGCAGUAGGGAAUCUUCCGCAAUGGGCGAAAGCCUGACGGAGCAACGCCGCGUGAGUGAUGAAGGUCUUCGGAUCGUAAAACUCUGUUAUUAGGGAAGAACAUACGUGUAGGUAACUGUGCACGUCUUGACGGUACCUAAUCAGAAAGCCACGGCUAACUACGU